AUGGAAACCACAAGGCUAUCCUUGCUCUCUCUUCUUCCGUUCCUUCUCCUCGCGACCGCUGCCGCGGCAACCGGCGGCGAGCUCAGCACGUUCAUCUUCCACGUGCAAGCAGAGGAGAAUCGCGUGUUUGGCACCGCGGACGACCGGAAGGCGUGGUACCACUCGUUCCUCCCCGACCAUGGCCGGCUCGUGCACGCAUACCACCACGUCGCGAGCGGGUUCGCGGCCCGGCUGACGUGGCAGGAGCUGGAGGCGGUGUCCCCCAUGCCCGGUUUCCUCAGCGCGACCCGCGCCCGGACGUACACCACGCUCACGACGCACACGCCCGAGUUCCUGGGGCUGAACGUCGAGCAGGGGCGGCGGAACUACACGUCGGAAUUCGGCGCCGGGGUCAUCGUCGGCCUCAUCGACACCGGCAUCUUCCCGGACCACCCGUCCUUCAGCGACGACGGCAUGCCGCCGCCGCCGGCCAAAUGGAAGGGGCGCUGCGACUUCAGCUGCACCUCGUGCAACAAUAAGCUCAUCGGCGCCCGCAACUUCGUCGCCGCCUUCAACGGCCCGAACGGCACCUCCGCGCGGGUGCCGCCUGUUGAUGAGUUUGGGCACUGGACUCACACCGCAAGCACCGCCGCUGGAGCGGUCGUGCCGGGCGCUAACGUGCUCGGCAACGCAUGGGGCACCGCUGCCGGGAUGGCGGUCCGCGCGCACAUCGCCAUGUACAAGGUGUGCUACGGAAAAGUCGUGAUAGGGUGCGAGGAUGCCGACAUACUGGCUGGCAUUGAUGCCGCCGUGGGCGACGGCUGCGACGUCAUCUCCAUAUCUCUCGGCGGGCCGUCGGUGCCCUUUCACCUAGACCCUAUGGCCAUCGGGACGUUCGGCGCCAUCGAGAAGGGCAUUUUUCUGGGCAACGGCGCGUAUUUCCACGGCGAGUCGCUCUACCAGCUAGACGCCGGCUUCUACCCGUUGGUCUACGCCGGUGCGAGCGGGAUGCCAUUCGCGGAGUUCUGCGGAAACGGCAGUUUGGACGGCUUCGACGUCAAGGGCAAGAUAGUGCUGUGUGAGCUCACGAGAAACAUUACGGUGAUCAACCAAGGUGAGGUGGUGGAGAGUGCCGACGGCGUCGGCAUGAUCUUGGCAAACCCGUUUUCCCGAGGGUACGACAAGUUAGCCCAGGCAAACGUUCUCCCGGCGUCGAGCGUCGACUACUACGCGGGCGCAGCCAUCAAAUUGUACCUCAACUCCACGGCGAACCCGGUCGUGCAUAUCGGUUUCAGGGGUACAGUACUCGGCACGUCACCUGGUCCGUCGAUCGUGUUCUUCUCCUCUCGGGGGCCUAGCCGUCAAGGCACGGGCGUUCUGAAGCCCGACAUCACGGGCCCCGGAGUGAACGUGCUCGCGGCAUGGCCGUUUCAGGUCGGCCCACCGUCGGCGCCGGUUCUUCCUGGGCCGACCUUCAACAUAAUCUCCGGCACGUCCAUGUCGACGCCGCACCUCGCCGGCAUCGCCGCUUUAAUCAAGAGCAAGCACCCGGACUGGUCGCCGGCGGCGAUCAAGUCGGCCAUGAUGACGACGGCCGACAUCACCGACCGCUCUGGCAGUCCAAUACUCAACGAGCAGCGCGUGACGGCCAACCUCUUCGCCACCGGCGCCGGACACGUCAACCCGAUGAAGGCCGCUGACCCUGGCAUAGUCUACGACAUCACCCCUGAGGAUUACAUCGGCUACCUCUGCAGCAUGUACACGAGCCAGCAGCUGUCGGUGAUCGCGCGCCGGCCGAUCGACUGCUUGACCACCGUCAUGAUCAGCGACCGCCUGCUGAAUUACCCGUCGAUCUCGGUCGCUUUCCCAGAGUCCUGGAAUUCGACGGCCCCGGUGGUCGUGAGGCGCAAGGUGAAGAACGUCGGGGAGGUGCCUUCGGUAUACUACGCGGUGAUCGACAUGCCGAGUAGCGCCGUAAGCGUGGACGUAUACCCGAGGGAGCUGGAGUUCAUCGAAGCGAACCAGGAGGUGAUCUUUUCGGUAUACGUGUGGCUGAGGCAGAGUGGUGCAAGGGUGGUGCAGGGUGAUCUACGGUGGGUAUCCGAGAAGCACACCGUCCGGAGCCCAAUCUCCGUCACCUUUGCUUGA
Molecule: ribosomal RNA, 2127 nt
Filed under: Triticum aestivum (bread wheat)
Lineage: Eukaryota; Viridiplantae; Streptophyta; Magnoliopsida; Poales; Poaceae
Description: partial small subunit ribosomal RNA
Source: RNAcentral